Molecule: long non-coding RNA, 2354 nt
Filed under: Olea europaea subsp. europaea
Lineage: Eukaryota; Viridiplantae; Streptophyta; Magnoliopsida; Lamiales; Oleaceae
Source: RNAcentral
GUUAACAUGCUUCCAUCAUCUAUCUUUCUUUUUCGUUUCUGAGCUUUCCCAAAAUCGUUGACAUAAUCCUUAAGAGUAACCAAACCGUUGCUACCAAACAUAAUUUUAUGUUUUUUUCCCUUCAUGUCCAUCAAACAAAGAUUUCUUUUUCCUUAAUGGAUGAGAUGAUGACAAAAAUCUCCUAUGACCCUUUGCAAAUUUUCUACUGAAUUUUAACCACUACGAGUGAGUAUCCUCAGAAUAUGUAUGGCAACCUAUCCUACCCUUAAUUUUACAUUUAGCUAAAUUUCCAAGAGCUGGUAAAUCAUUAAUAGUCCACUUAAGUAUUGCUCUCAAGUUGAAGACUACAUUAAUGUGUGCAUUAUACACAUUCAUGCCAAUAUUCCACAAUUCGUUCAAGUAAUCUAUAAGUGGUUGUAAAUAUAUAUCAAUAUCAUUCCCAGACUGUUUAGGCUCUGGAAUAAACAAUGACAACAUGAUAUCUUCUUUUUUCAUGCAUAACCAUGGUGGUAGAUUAUAAAUGACCAACAUCACUGGCCAACAACUAUAAGUAGAUUGAAUGGAUUGAAACCAUUUGUAGCAAGUCCAAGCCUAAGAUUGCUUGGAUCAUUUGCAAACUCUGGCCACUUGUUGUCAAUUAAAGCCCAAGAUGGAGAAUCCGCUGUAUGGCGCAUUUUACCAUCAAUACUCUAAUUGGUUGAAUGACACAUUAAUGAUUCAGCUAUCUUUGGUGCACUAAACAUCCUCUGGAAUCUAGGUUUUAUAGGAAGGUUAUAUUAAGAUCUUAGCAGGUAUACCAUUUUUACUCUUUCAUGUCUACUUAUCGACCUUCCAUCUCAAAGGACCACAUUUUGGACAACUAUCUAGUUCAUUUUUAUCGUUUCUAAGCAAAUAGAAAUCAUUGACACAUGCAUGAAUCUUCUUAUAUCCUAAAUCAAAUGUCUUAAGAAAUUUUCUUACACAUAGUGUGGAUGUAAGAAUUACACCUUAAGGUAACAUAUCAUGUAAUAUGUUUAGAAGUUCUGUAAGGCUAUUAUUUGACUGGUCACUAAUAGUUUUAAGCUUAUAUAAGGUCACAAUUGAAGAUAAUUUUGUGUAUUUUUCAUUUUCUGAAUACGACGGAGUUUUAGCAUCCUUCAACAAUCAACUAAUGUCAUAUCCAAAUUCUCUUCGAAAGCUUCCUUCUUAUGUUCUUCAUUCAUAUGUGCAGCUUCAAACAAGUUGAAUAUUUCAGUCUUACUUGUUUCAACAUUACUAAUUAGUCUUUCUCUGUGGUGAAACCAAUUUGUGUAAGUCGGAUCCAUUUCUCUUAUGACCAAAUACUCGUGAACGAUAUUUACAUGUUGAAAGCUUAAGUUCCAACAACCUUUACAAGGACAUAAAAUUUUAUCUAGUUUGCCUAAAUUAUGAUAAGUAUUGAUGACAAAAAUUUUCGAAGCUUUUAUGUACUCUUGUGAACCACUAACAAUUUUAAAAGACAAUGUUUUAAGAUAUUAUCUUAAAAUAUGAAGUAUAUAAAUUACAUUAAAAAGUACAAAUUACCUGUUAAGAUGCACCACUUCUUUAUCCAUAAUUUGUGGGAACCCAAAUAUUAUCCUAGUAGUAUAUAUGAGUAUACCUAUAUUCGAAAUGGAACAUUUCAAUCUUAUAUUCAGUAGUAUUUCGCACUACACAACAAAGACAAAAUCUAAAGAAACUUCUAACAUAUCACUUGACUAAAUAUUCAACAGAUGCUGUUAUUAAUGAUAUGAAAAGAGUUGGGCUGGAAUUCAGAUAUUAUAGGUUGAAAACAACUAAUUAACUAAGAAUUCUUGAUUACUUGACUAAACUGUUGUCUUUAUGGAUUUUUCCAUCACACCAUCUCUGGACAAAAAUUUCAGCGCUUAAACAUUUACUUAAGUCUCUAAAUGUAAUGAGAUGAGAAUGAAUUUUGUUACUCUAGAAAGAUAACUUUAUAUACAACAAUUAAUUAAAAUGGCAGAAUCCACUCAGCCUAAAACCUUACAUAAAACUGAAUUUAUCUCCCAAAGUUGCAAAGAUCCUGUGUUGCAUUAGAUUCUAGUGCACAGAGCUGUGACGAUCCAAUUUAAUAACUGAAAAAAAAUACCUUCUUAUGGAUAUAAAGAAGAAACAAUCCCUACCGAUCUCCUGAUUCAAAUCAUAUAUGCUUCAAAACUUCCCUUCCACAAUUGAAAAAAUAAAAACUACAGAACAAAGAAAAACGACAGAAUCAGCAAUGAGAUAUGAAAAUUUGGGAUAAAUUCGUUGUUAUUUGGGGAAAUUUUCUGAAAAAAAAUUACUCAAACCAAAAGAGAGAUAGAGAGGCAAAGAAAUUAAUGUAGGGAAGAUGGAGA